RNAcentral lists this transfer-messenger RNA (384 nucleotides) under Bacilli. RNAcentral describes it as "UBA3789 sp902798815 Standard tmRNA". It matches the Rfam family "transfer-messenger RNA". From Rfam's summary of the family: Bacterial tmRNA, also known as 10Sa RNA or SsrA, is named for its dual tRNA and mRNA-like properties. Its role is to liberate the mRNA from a stalled ribosome. RNAcentral also lists the same sequence under 1 other name. Lineage: Bacteria; Bacillati; Bacillota. The record is from RNAcentral.
GGGGCUGAUAUGGUUUCGACGGGAUUGGUUGAGCAUAGAUUGCAAGUCGUGUUGUUCACGUAAAACGCUAAAAAAAAUAAAUGCAACAAAAUUAAAAAAUGCUAUAGCAAAUAUGUUUGGUGGACGCCAAGCAGUUGCUUUUGCCUAAUAUAAUUAAUAAGGCUAGCGCUUCUUUUUAAUCUUAACCUAGAGAUUAUUCAGAGGUUCAUUUUUAUAGGUUAUAUCUAUUCUUUGUCUAGGGAAUAGAAAGAAUUUUUAGACUAAUAUAGUUUCUUGGUCGUUAACUACUUGGAAAUUAUAUGAUUAACAAUUAGUUAACUAAGCUUGUAGAUGUUUAUGUAUCGCUUUUUUCGGACAGGAGUUCGAUUCUCCUCAGCUCCACCA